AGCAGCCGCGGUAAUUCCAGCUCCAAUAGCGUAUAUUAAAGUUGUUGCAGUUAAAAAGCUCGUAGUUGAAUUUCGGGAUCAGUACGCUGGUCGUGCCUUCGGUAUGAACUGGUGUCACUGGUUCCUCCCUUCUGAAGAACCGUCAUGCCAUUCAGUUGGUGUGGCGGGGAAUCAGGACUGUUACUUUGAAAAAAUUAGAGUGUUUAAAGCAGGCUCGCGCUUGAAUACAUUAGCAUGGAAUAAUGAAAUAGGACGUUUGACCCUAUUUUGUUGGUUUCUAGGAUCGACGUAAUGAUUAAUAGGGAUAGUUGGGGGCAUUAGUAUUCAAUUGUCAGAGGUGAAAUUCUUGGAUUUAUUGAAGACUAACUACUGCGAAAGCAUUUGCCAAGGAUGUUUUCAUUAAUCAAGAACGAAAGUUAGGGGAUCGAAGACGAUCAGAUACCGUCGUAGUCUUAACCAUAAACUAUGCCGACUAGGGAUCGGAUGAUGUUAAUUUUUUAAUGACUCA
Molecule: ribosomal RNA, 508 nt
Filed under: uncultured Glomeromycotina
Lineage: Eukaryota; Fungi; Glomeromycota
Description: SSU rRNA
Rfam family: Eukaryotic small subunit ribosomal RNA
Source: RNAcentral